Molecule: long non-coding RNA, 984 nt
Filed under: Manacus vitellinus (golden-collared manakin)
Lineage: Eukaryota; Metazoa; Chordata; Aves; Passeriformes; Pipridae
Description: lncRNA (ENSMVIG00005004607.1)
Source: RNAcentral
UUUGAUAACAGACUCAUCUACUCCCAGGAAAUCACAGAAUGAGAGAGAGCCACAAUCUUGUGGGAUUUUCUUCAGAAGCUCCAUCACAUCUCUGCUCUCUGCUUUGGAAGCUGAAAUUUCUCCUUUCACAGAAAUUCUUCAGCAGGAGUCCUGCCUGCAGACUCCUCGCUCAGGAAGCUCCAGGAGCCAUCUGGGACUAGUCUGCAAGGCUCAGCUGAUGUGUUACUGUGUAUCCAGAUGUACUUCAGGACCAAAAAGUGACCCCUGUGUUUGCCCAAAAUCACACCCAUGGACAACAGCAAAGCACCAGCCAAAGUGGGUCAACCCAUCUUAUUUGGGGCUGAAGGUUUCCAUCUCCAGCAGUGUCUUCUGAGCAAUUGAAAACUCCAACCAAGGAAUUCCGAGGGGAGAAGACUACUGAAAGAUGCCUGUGGGUCAUCCUGCAAAUCCUCUGACCUCGGGAAGGGAGCAGGCUGAAAUGACCCUGAUGGUGACGCAGAGCUGUGGGUGCCACGCAUUGCUCAGACUCUGCAGGACCAGACCUACAGCUGCUGCACUAAAUUUCAAUGUCUUCUCUUCAGAUGAUGAUGUCUGUGGACUUUCCUAUUUUUCUUGCCAAUCUAAUGUCAUAUUUCCUUCAAAUAAAACUCGGUGUGUGAGAACUCACUUCUGUUUCUCUCUUAGGAAAGGAAGGCUGCCCUGUCUGUGCAUCACCUAACAGGAAAGACCUCAGGACAAAGAGCUCAGACCCUCCAGAAAUCUUUCAGAGAGAAGCUCCAGCUCUCCCUUAUCUCUUUUAAAGUUAACACAUCACACUUUGUACAUGCUCAGCAACAAAGUUCCUAAUGUUGUUUCCCGAUAACCCAGAGGCCCGGGACAGCAAUGCUGUUGCUGUUUCAUAGAGGGCGAGAGCGGGACACUUGCUCCCCUGGCUGCCGACAAUCAGCACUUUGUGAACAUCCCACACUAGAGGUUUGCACAGAG